GCAAGUCGAGGGGUAACAGGAGUGCUUGCACUUGCUGACGACCGGCGGCCGGGUGCGUAACGCGUAAACAAACUACCUUAUGCUGAGGGAUAGCCCAGAGAAAUCUGGAUUAAUACCUCAUAGUAUCAUAAAGCUGCAUAGUUUAAUGAUUAAAGGUUACGGCAUAAGAUGAGUAUGCGUCCUAUUAGUUUGUUGGUGUGGUAACGGCACACCAAGACUACGAUAGGUAGGGGCCCUGAGAGGGGGAUC
Molecule: ribosomal RNA, 249 nt
Filed under: uncultured bacterium
Lineage: Bacteria
Description: partial 16S ribosomal RNA
Rfam family: Bacterial small subunit ribosomal RNA
Source: RNAcentral